Haliotis rufescens (red abalone) is the source of this 528-nucleotide long non-coding RNA. RefSeq lists it as uncharacterized. The transcript has 2 exons. Lineage: Eukaryota; Metazoa; Mollusca; Gastropoda; Lepetellida; Haliotidae. The record is from RefSeq and is a predicted model, not a curated record.
UCCCUUGCUUGCUUUGUGUGUCCUUAUAUCCCCGCUUCUUGUGUUUCAGUGGGACGGAAAUUCAUGCUCCAGUUGUUCAAUAUGUUUGUAUACAUAGCAUUAGCUGUCACUAGCCCUAGCACUGUUUCUUUCUGGACUUGAAUUGAAUGAUUCUCCUGAUUUGAAUUUGUACUUAUCCCCAAUUCCUGCCCAACGACCAGGUCAAACCCAAAUCCUUGUUAGCCAAUCUGAAGCAAGCUCUGCAACCUCUAUGGGUGGCAGUGGCCAAUGUGAGACGAGGAUACAGCCAGGUGAAAGUGAGGGCAGCCAAUCAGCAGCCUCAUCACAAACAGGGGAGGGUGUGUCAGCCACAGAUGCUUCCUCAGUUGUUUCAUGUUCGCCUGAGCUGUCUGCACUCUUAAGUUCAUUCUUAGAGGAAGACUAGAAAAUAUGAAGAAAAAGAAGAAUUAGGCAAAUUGGAAUAUAUGUGUGUACAAAGUGAAAGAAUAUUUCUGGACAAUAAAUGAAAGGUUUUGUUGCCACCUGACA